GCUGGGCAUAGUGGCGUGUGCCUGUAGUCCCAGCUACUUGGGAGGCUGAGGCAGAAGAAUUGCUUGAACCCAGGAGGCAGAGAUUGCAGUGAGCCAAGAUUGCGCCACUGCACUCCAGCCUGGGCAACNNNNNNNNNNGUUGCCCAGGCUGGAGUGCAGUGGCGCAAUCUUGGCUCACUGCAAUCUCUGCCUCCUGGGUUCAAGCAAUUCUUCUGCCUCAG
Gorilla gorilla gorilla (western lowland gorilla) is the source of this 221-nucleotide non-coding RNA. It matches the Rfam family "Metazoan signal recognition particle RNA". From Rfam's summary of the family: The signal recognition particle (SRP) is a universally conserved ribonucleoprotein. It is involved in the co-translational targeting of proteins to membranes. The eukaryotic SRP consists of a 300-nucleotide 7S RNA and six proteins: SRPs 72, 68, 54, 19, 14, and 9. The record is from Rfam. NCBI's taxonomy places the organism in Eukaryota, Metazoa, Chordata, Mammalia, Primates, Hominidae.